GAUGAACGCUGGCGGCGUGCCUAAUACAUGCAAGUCGAGCGAACAGACGAGGAGCUUGUUCCUUUGACGUUAGCGGAGGACGGGUGAGUAACACGUGGAUAACCCACCUAUAAGUCUGGGAUAACUUCGGGAAACCGGAGCAAAUACCGGAUAAUAUACUGAACCGCAUGGGUCAAUAGAGAAAGACGGCUUUGCUGUCACUUAUAGAUGGAUCCGCGCCGCAUUAGCUAGUUGGUACGGUAACGGCUUACCACGGCAACGAUGCGUAGGCGACCUGAGAGGGUGAUCGGCCACACUGGAACUGAGACACGGUCCAGACUCCUACGGGAGGCAGCAGUAGGGAAUGUUCCGCAAUGGGCGAAAGCCUGACGGAGCAACGCCGCGUGAGUGAUGAAGGUCUUCGGAUCGUAAAACUCUGUUAUUGGGGAAGAACAGAUGUGGAAGUAAAUAUGCACGUCUUGACGGUACCUAAUCAGAAAGCAACGGCUAACUACGUG
This 497-nucleotide ribosomal RNA is filed under the name uncultured bacterium. RNAcentral describes it as "partial 16S ribosomal RNA". It matches the Rfam family "Bacterial small subunit ribosomal RNA", at positions 28 to 507 of the family's 1533-position model. The record is from RNAcentral.